RNAcentral lists this long non-coding RNA (1767 nucleotides) under Zonotrichia albicollis (white-throated sparrow). RNAcentral's name for it is "lncRNA (ENSZALG00000008803.1)". Lineage: Eukaryota; Metazoa; Chordata; Aves; Passeriformes; Passerellidae. The record is from RNAcentral.
UUUUUUUGCAGUAUUUUUUGUGCGUGUGUUUUUAUUUCAAUUUUCUGGGUUAUUUCUGUGUGGGUUUUUUUUUUUGUUUUUAUUUCAAUUUUCUGGGUUAUUUCUGUGUGGGUUUUUUUUUUUGUGUGUGUGGUUUGUUUUGCUUUGCUUUUUUCUUUCUUUUUUUUUUUUUUGAAAUCUAUUUUAUUUUACAGUGAAGUGUUUGAUUUUUUUUUUUACAGUGAAGUGAAAAGCAGAGUCCCUCCUAUCAAGUGUGCCUAACCUAGUAUUGUUCACAUCUGGGAGUGAUAGAUGUGCUGUUUAUAACAAGAUCAAAACUAUCAAGAAGUAAAGCAGGAUGUUGUUAAAAUAAACCACCACAACACACUGAAAACCUCUGAAACUGUAAAAUGCUGGAAAAGGAGCUGGCUGCUGCUGAAUGUCUAGAGGCUAGCGAGGUAGAAAUAGGAAUAUAUUUAGUUCUCAGUGGAAGCGGAGUCCCUGGGCUGAACGGUGUUUGUACAUCUUGUGCUUCUCACAUUUCAUCAUUUCUGGCUGACAUCAGGAGGUUUGACCAAAGCAUGUCUGACAUAUUGGUGAGGAGAUUUUGUCACAUUGGCAAAGAGGAAUUCUGAGUGUGGAGAGCAAAGAGCAACAAAAGAGAGAAACAUGGAACAUAAAUUUUUGUUAGUGUGAUGGCAAGAGAAGGUUGAUUUGGAGUAUUUUAUUGCUUAUUAGCCAUGGGCAAAGAAGCAGCAUGUUUUAGAUGCUCCGAGAAUGUGGGGCAUACUGCUCUAACCAGACAUAUUUAAUUUUCUGCAAAAGAAAUUAAGGAAGAGAGUUCUCUGGAAGGGACAAAGACAAUAGAGAGCAGAUCACAAGAAGUGUUUCUGUGGUGUGGAUUUUGAAAAUGAGCAUGUGCAAUUUGCCUCUAAACUGUUACACGUUCGUCCUCUCUUGGUUGUACAGAUGUGUUAAGCAUUUAAAACUGGAAGAUCAGUCCAUUUUUACUUUUCCUCAUUGACAAAACUGACCCAUUUCAUGAUGGGUUUUACAAGGUAGGAAUGUCCCAGAGCCCUUCACAGCCAGACACUGCAGUACAGGGUGCUUUGACACACGUCAUAAUUUCAGAUAGGAGUCUUGAAAUGCGGGAAAAUUGCCAUUUGUAAAAGAGUUUGCUUCUUGUAGAGAUGUAUUAACAGAAACUGGAAAGAUAGGUUUCAUUAAAAAAAUACAAGACUUGUCAUAUUGUGAGACAUUUUUGUUGUUGAAGGUGGUAAUUUAGCAAAACAGAAACCUUUCAUGAGAAAGUGCUUGUUUCAGUCAACUUGUCAGGAAAUGCUUUGGAAAACAGUGAUUUUUAUAAUAUCAGGUGCUUGCCUUGUGCAGUGAAGAUUUUGAUUCUGUUAUCUGAAACAGAAUGUAAGUGCGUGAUACUUGGAAAUUUAAUGAGAGGUGAAACUGUAAUCUUCACAAAACCCCUUAACAUUAAACAGGAUUAUUUUGAUGUCAGGAGAACAUUCUGUGUAAUUCAAACUGAAAAUACACUUAUUUUAUCAGUGCUGAAAACUUUCUCUGAACUAUUGGUCAUGAGAGGAAAAAGCAAUCUCCUGCUCAGUGCCAGCAUAACAUCUACUUCAGAAUUUGUGGUGGUGGAGCAACUUGUCUGAUACAGAGAAUGAAGAAUUUCAGUGUUCCUGAGCGAGAGAUCUCUCUGCUGCCUAAUGGCCCAGAGAAUUUUGGUAAUGAUUUCAGAAGAAUAAACUAAUUUUUCUCUAUUUUAUGGCA